Molecule: long non-coding RNA, 3749 nt
Filed under: Xyrichtys novacula (pearly razorfish)
Lineage: Eukaryota; Metazoa; Chordata; Actinopteri; Labriformes; Labridae
Source: RNAcentral
GAGUCACAUAACAAAACAGCGUAUAAAAAGGAUGCAAAAAAAACCCUCACACAUCAUGUAUAUACAAAUAGAUGGAGUGUAUACAUACAGAGGAAAGAGAGAAAAAAAGAGAAUAUGGGUAGCCUUUUCUUUAUGUUCUGUCCAACAACCACAAUAAGUUUGCCCAGGCUUCGUUACCUCUAGACUCAUCCACCAAAAGGUCCAAGGACCUCAGCUCCGAAAGAAAGACAGAUACCCUGUCUGCUGUAGAAAACCUUUGUUGAUCAUCUUUAUAUCUCAUCCAGAUUUUAAAGAUGGACGGUUUUGCUAUUGUUAGAGUCAGAUUUGUAAAAUAUCUGUUACUUGCUGAUGUGCACAGUUCUACUCUAAAGGUGAUAUUAAACUGAGACAUAAGUGCGGAAACCUGGUUCCAAAAGCCACCCAGACAACGACAUGAAACAAACAUAUGUUCUGUAUCUUCUUUUACCAAACAAAAAGCACAUAGAGGAGUGGGGACCAGCUUCCAUUUAUACAGGUUUGACAUAUUUGGAAGAAUUCCAUGUAAUAUUUUGAAAUUGUAUUCGGCCAAUUUCCUAUCUGGAGAUAAUUUUAUUGUUUGUCUCUGUCACACAUUGCUCCACAUGAUGUUGUUUGUUUGGUCGGCUAGUGCAGCAUACCAAUAUGUCUGCAUAUAUGAUGUCUUUAUUUUUUCUUUUAACAACAGCUUAUAGAUUAUCUCGCAAGUAUAGCCUGUCGGAGCAAUGUGUGCAUCAGUGUUGUCAUCUCUUAAUGUUAUACUGUUGCUCAGAAAUGGGAGCCAUUUUUGGGAAUUUCCUUUCUGAUGAUGAAUAAUUCGCUAAUUUCUCUUAUCCAGUUUUGAAGCUUUGGUUUUUCCUUUACAGAUAGAUCUUUCAAGAUAAAUUAUGCCUGAGUCAAUCCAAUGUUUGUAGAAAAGGGACUUCCCUCUAGAAUCUGUUUAAAAGGCAGAUCCCCAGAUGAUAUGGUUUCCGACUUCAUCUGCUGUACAUGGUUCCUUCACAAAACCACCUCCUGCUUUGUGCCAGCUUUGAAUAAUGCCUUGAUAAAAAAGUGGGAAUUCCUGUCAGAUCUGGACAGUGUUUUUUUUCUUUAAAGUGCAUUCUUAAGAUAAGGAAAUCUUUACCUAGUCUAUUUAAAUACAAUUUGGGUAGCAGUUUCCAAUCUCCUGAUGAUGUAUCCAUGAUGCGCUUCACCCAGCCAGCAUGAAGUGCUUCUAUAUGAGAUUGAAUAUCUAACAUUUUUAUACCCCUUGUAUUAUAAUCUCCUAAAAUAACAGAUCUUUUGAUUUUAUCUCUCUUUCCAGACCAAAGAAAGUCAAAAAACAAAGUAUUCAGCCUGACAGUCACAUUAUUUGGCACAUCACACACAGUAGCCCAGUACAUAAUUUUAGCUGCAAUCAAUGAUUUCAGAAUAGUUACUUUGCCAUAUAAUGUGAGAUUCCUUUGUCUCCAUAGAUUUAAAACAUGUUCUAUAUUAUUGAUUUUCUCAUUCCAUAGGUUCGUCUCACAUGAAAGUUUGUUGUUGUGGUGUGGCUGGUGAGCUGCGAGGACCCAGAAGCAGGCACUGAGACAGAGAUCAACUAAAGGUGUAAUUUUAAUGUCCAAACUCAGGAUUGAAAUGCAAACAGAGGAAGUCCGGAGGGCUGGUUGGCUGGCUGUCGUGUAGGCUGGAGACACUGCAGGAAAAACCAGAGGAGAAGGAAGUAAGUGAACAUGCAAAGAAUCACAAGGAGCAAAGUUAUUGAUACUCAUACAACGAGGAAGGCCAGGGGCCUGUUCUACGAAGCAGGAUUACUGCUUAGCGAGGUAACUUCGAGGAUAAGUUCGGGGUUUCCUGUUCUACGACGCGGGUUCACUUCUUAGCGAGGCGAGUCUCCAUGGCAACAUACGCUGAACGGCUUACCUGCUCCGGGGCAGGCUAAGUUCCAGAUUGAACUCACGGAGCAUAAAAACCCUGCCCACUGACCAAUGAGCUCUCUCGAAAAACGGCUUGUCCGUUCUUGGAGGAUCCUGUAGACCUCGGUGCUCGCAUUGUCCGAGGAGCACUCCGGCGCGCGAGAGUUUUCAGGGACCGCACGGACCCACUUACUUCUCCGGAUGACCACCUUUAUGAAAGGCUCAUAUGGCCGACAUAUCACACAAAACAUGUAAACACGAUAGGAAUGAAUACAUGAAUGAAUUCAUCUUGGAAAUGAAUGGGCAUGGGCUGCGUGAUCACAGACAACAUCUCGGUACUAUUUAGUAGCAGCGCAUGCCCCUUUUAAUAACCCCGUAAAUACUGUUGUUCAUGACUGUUUACUUGUGCUUCCUACCUACUGUAACAACUGUUGUUCUAGCAUACAUGCAAAAUUUUUGUUCUCAUUCAUCAAACGCUUAAAUCGGGGACAUUUUCGGGGACAGCUUUAGCCGGGGACAGAUCAUCCAAUUCGGCGCUGAGGCUGAGGGCUGCAGGCUUCUUAAAGUGCUUUGAUUGGAGAUGUGGAGCAGGUGUGUAGUCUCACUCAGCCUCAGGGACCGGGGGAGGGGCGGAAGCUCUGGAAGAGAGUGAAGCCAGACCAGGCAAACAAGGAAACACAGGAAGUCCAGCCAAAAUAAAACAAGAGAAGGAGGCGUCUCACCACAGUUGUAACCAAAAUGUACACCAAGUGAUUUUACAGGACCAGUUGGCCACCUUAUUCCACUGAUUUCUUUUCGCCUAAAUUUCCAGCAACCAACCCAAAUUGCUUCGGUUUUCUGUAAGUUCAAUUCAGGGCCUGCAACUUUGCCAAAAGAUGAUAUCAUUUCUAGUGCUGUAGUUAGUGACCUUUCGCCACCAAGCAGUAGAGUAGUAUCAUCUGCUACUUGUGAAGUUUUAACCUCAUGGGUAGCACUUCCAUCUGACAAAUUGAUACCUUUGAUGUUUGCAUUUUGAUUAAUAUACAGUGCUAGAAUUUCCAUGGCAAAAAGAAACAAGAUUGCGGACAAAGGGCAACCUUGCCUAAUUCCCCGACUAAGGUCAAAGAAUUCUCCAUUGUUGACUACUGCACUACAGUUUGUAUGAAUAGUUUGAAUCCAUCUUAGAAACAAACUCCCAAAGUUGAAUCUCUUUAGUGCUUUAAAUAAAAAGAUCCACUCUACACUAUCAAAUGCCUUUUUAAAGUCUAGAAAGAGAACUAUACCAGGAAUUUGUAAAGCGCCGAGAGUGUGUGGACCCAAAAGCAGUGGACGUGAGGCAAUUGUUCAGUUUCCAAAGGGCAAACUCUUUUAUUCCAACCAAAAGAAAACCCGGCAGGGUCAAAAUCAGAGCAGCAAAUAAUCAGGCGACAAAAACCAGUGGGACAGGCAAGAAUCAAAAAUCCAGGACGAUCAAAACAGGUCAUACACGGGAAGCAGAGAUAUGCGACAAAAACCAGUGGGACAGGCAAGAAUCAAAAAUCCAGGACGAUCAAAACAGGUCAUACACGGGAAGCAGAGAUAUAUCAAAACGCGAGAGAGCUUGUACUAAAGUGACAAAGACAAUCUGGCAGGGAAGAGCUAGUGAGGAGGGGUUAAAUAGAGAAGGGGACAAAACACAGGUGAAGCCAAUGGGGUAAUUAACUAAGGCGGGAAAAGGAACAAAGACCGGAAGUAAAGGUAACAGCAACACAGGAAAAACAGGAUCUUCAAAAUAAAACAGGAAGUGGAUUUCACAGCACAGAUCAUGACAGUACCUCCCCCCUCAAGGGGCGUCUCUAGACUACCCCGGAACAUCUG